AUGGCGGCGCCAAGGAUUAGAAAGCUCAUCACGGCGCAGGGAGCUUUCGACUCCGUCCUCCUCCAAGGACACGACGGGCAUCCCAUACCGUGGGACGUUGUCGUGAAGACGCUCGCCCAGCUGCUCCGCUUCCUCGCGUCCGCGCUCCCGGCGCUCGUCGCCGGGAUCCGGGAGUGGGCCGCGGCAAUGGAGCAGCGGGCGGGCUCCGCCUUGGCCGUCGCCCUCCCCACCGCGGUCGUGGUAGCGCUGGUCGUCCUCUGCUGCUGCUGCGGGUACCUGGUGGCCGGCGGGCGGCGCCGGCCGAGAGGGCCGAACGGGGAGGAGGUCUACGGGCCGCGACGGGCCGGUGGUGAGGUACGGUGGCCGUGUCGGCGGCGGGUACACAGGAGGGAUCUUCAGCCUGCACCCCCAACAAGCCCAUCGUGUGCUAGCUUUGCUACAAAUUGA
This 447-nucleotide ribosomal RNA is filed under the name Triticum aestivum (bread wheat). RNAcentral describes it as "partial small subunit ribosomal RNA". Lineage: Eukaryota; Viridiplantae; Streptophyta; Magnoliopsida; Poales; Poaceae. The record is from RNAcentral.